Molecule: ribosomal RNA, 247 nt
Filed under: uncultured bacterium
Lineage: Bacteria
Description: partial 16S ribosomal RNA
Rfam family: Bacterial small subunit ribosomal RNA
Source: RNAcentral
AUACGUAGGGUGCGAGCGUUAAUCGGAAUUACUGGGCGUAAAGCGUGCGCAGGCGGUUUCGUAAGACAGAGGUGAAAUCCCCGGGCUCAACCUGGGAAUGGCCUUUGUGACUGCGAGGCUAGAGUGUGACAGAGGGGGGUAGAAUUCCACGUGUAGCAGUGAAAUGCGUAGAGAUGUGGAGGAAUACCGAUGGCGAAGGCAGCCCCCUGGGUUACUACUGACGCUCAUGCACGAAAGCGUGGGGAGC